CUCUGGACCUCUGGUCUCUCUCUCCUCACUGUGUGCAUCGCCCCCAAAUCGUCCUAGGGUUAGAAGAGGUCAGACGCAGCCGAAGCUUCAUCAACUCGCCGCCUAGUAUAGAUCUGGACCAACUGUCGCGUCCCCCCGCUAGCACCAGCCGCUGCAACCGUGGAGAUGUACGAAGCUGGACCAACCUUUCGCGCCACCGCGUCGCGGGUAGUCGAGCUCCCAGGCGGUCGCCCUGUGUGAGAACUUACGGCCGUACGACUGCAAGGGUUGUUGGACGCUGCAGCCCGAAAUAUCUGAUUUUCAAAUAGCUUUGCAGCACAAUCCUGAAAAUACAGACGUCUCAAGAAAAAUCAAGAGGCUUUGAUGUUGUACCGUGCAGAAAUAUCUGUUUUGAAUGUGAUUGAAUCAGCGGUGAAAAUUUGGCAGGACAUAAACUUGUACCGUGCAGAAAUCUUGAGGUUAUAGAGUACCAAGUUACUGAUCAAGUGAUGGUUGUAAUUGUGUACUUGAGGGAAUUUCCGUUUCUUAUAUGUUUCUUUUGUAAAGAGUAAUGGAUUUCUUUUGUAAA
Molecule: long non-coding RNA, 568 nt
Organism: Lolium rigidum
Lineage: Eukaryota; Viridiplantae; Streptophyta; Magnoliopsida; Poales; Poaceae
Exons: 2
Source: RefSeq, a predicted model, not a curated record